Molecule: unclassified non-coding RNA, 231 nt
Filed under: Lecanorales sp.
Lineage: Eukaryota; Fungi; Ascomycota; Lecanoromycetes; Lecanorales
Description: partial contains 5.8S ribosomal RNA, internal transcribed spacer 2, and large subunit ribosomal RNA
Source: RNAcentral
CGCAUAUUGCGCCCAUUGGUAUUCCGAUGGGCACACCUGUUCGAGCGUCAUUACACCCCUCAAACCUAGGUUUGAUGUUGGGCCCAGCCUUUGACGGCAAGCCUAAAAAUUAGCGAUGGUAACCUUCAACCACAGGCGCACAGAUGCUGUCAUGAUGGAAGAUGGGGAUCAGUCUUAACCAAAAUUCUGAAUGUUGACCUCGGAUCAGGUGGGGAUACCCGCUGAACUUAA